AAAAGCUUAGACCGUUCAUAAGACAACUAAGAGACCAAAAGGGAGAAAAAAUCCAGAUGGAAUUGGAGCAUUGAAGUUCAUUAACGAUGAACCAGACAUAUUGCCUUCAAAACCACAUUGCAGUUACUAUGAAGCAAAAAAGUUCCAUUCUGAAACACCAAAUUUCUGUUGUUCUGACGGCGAAGUAGUUCUCCAGCAAAAAAAACUUCCAGAUAUUCUGAUAGAAUUAUAUACUGGUCGUUCCGAUGAAGCUGCCUCUUUCAGAACAUAUGUCAGGACGUACAACAAUAUGUUUGGCUUCACAUUUUUUGGAGUGCAUUAUGAUAAAUCCCUCUGCAAAAGAACUAAUGGCAUUUAUACAUUCAAAGUCCAAGGACAGACUUAUCACUUCAUCAAAGAUCUCAUUCCAUCUGGUGGUUCUGGCC
This is a non-coding RNA of Coffea arabica (coffee), 425 nucleotides long. The record is from RefSeq and is a predicted model, not a curated record. Lineage: Eukaryota; Viridiplantae; Streptophyta; Magnoliopsida; Gentianales; Rubiaceae.